Molecule: long non-coding RNA, 361 nt
Filed under: Volvox carteri
Lineage: Eukaryota; Viridiplantae; Chlorophyta; Chlorophyceae; Chlamydomonadales; Volvocaceae
Description: long non-coding RNA (VCAR_LNC002824)
Source: RNAcentral
GUAAUGUAAUGUGUUACAGAGUGGGAGGCUUCUGGGCCGCUUUAUCACAUUGUCAGUUCUACGAUCAUUUAUCACCUUAUAGCACCAUCCACCACUACCACACUGUCUUCGCCAUACGAACUGUAAGUCCAAGGCGGCGGAUCCAGCCUUCAGGGACCCCUCCUCAUUCAUUCACCCGAACACCCGAAGAGACGGAGGGUUCGGCAAUCGCCACCAAUCCAGCGUGCGAAUCUGGUCCAUCAACUGUGACCUCAACUCCACAUCUCAGCAGCUAGCCAUAAUCUCGCGCUCCCGACUAAUUCGGGGGUCUCCCCAGGAAUCGAACCCAGGACCUUAAACCGCUAAUUGCAGUAGUGUCAAC